AGGGUGUAAACGCUGCAGACUUGGUGUUGGAAGCCCUUUGGGGGCAUUCAGUGCCGGAGAGAAGUUGUUAAGUCUGCUACUUGGGGAGUACGUCCGCAAGGAUGAAACUUAAAGGAAUUGGCGGGGGAGCACCGCAACGGGAGGAGCGUGCGGUUUAAUUGGAUUCAACACCGUAAAACUCACCAGGGAAGACUGUUACAUGAAGGCCGAGAUGAAGACUCUGCCAGAUUUCCAGAGAGGAGGUGCAUGGCGUCAGUGACU
This 261-nucleotide ribosomal RNA is filed under the name uncultured archaeon. RNAcentral's name for it is "partial 16S ribosomal RNA". It matches the Rfam family "Archaeal small subunit ribosomal RNA", at positions 748 to 1008 of the family's 1478-position model. The record is from RNAcentral.